GAUCUGGCAACGAUUUACAGCAGUUGCCAUGACAAUAUUUGCAACGUCUAACGAAUGUUCCCUAAACAACUUUUGGGGACGAUUUUGAGGUGCCAUUAGCAUACAUGUUUGCCAAUAGUUGACAAACGUCCCCUUUAAGUCUUACUGGGAACGAUUUUACGUUGUUGCAUUAUUUUUAACAAAAGGCACGUUUCUUAAAUGAUGCAGAUAAAUUUCACAUACCAAAAAAUUAUUUAGUUUUUUUUGUUAAAAAAAAAAUGACACCUAAAAAUUAGGCGCCAAAAUUCCCUCCAAAUUAAAGUUAUUUUGUUUUUUUUUUAUUAAAAAAAAAUAUUCUCCAAAUCUGUACAAACAAAACGACACUCAAAAACAAAAAACAAACACUCUUCUGAACCAGAAACGUGAAACUCUUCUUCUCCAAAUCGACCCAGCUCCAAAUCGUACUCAUCUCCAAAACUUUCAUCUCCAAAACAUGAUUUCCUGAAACCCUCAUGAGAGUUCGAUCUCGUUUUAUCGUUUGAGAUCGAGUUCAUCUCUGCCGUUAUCGUUGGAGACCUAGUUCAACCGAUUGACCCAAAUCGCUGCAAUUUCUACUCUGAGCUUCUCUUAUCUCUUCUAUUUCACAGCUUAAGCCUCAAUCUCUUCAAUUUCGCAGAUCAAUACUCCAAUCCCUUUGAUUGCCCUAAUCAGAUUGUAAGUACAAAUUAGGUUUAUUUUUUUAUUUAACUAAAUUUCAUAUAUUUUUGUACUUGAACUACUACUUCACUACAAAUGAAGCUUGAAAUAUUUGUAUAUUAGUUGUAUUUUUUCAGUCAAGUUAAUUAUUUUAAAGUUUAGAUUUUUCUAAAAAAAUCAUUCUUUCUAGUGUUCAAAAUUUGGUAGGCUUGCGUGUUUGUGCAUUUUUCUUCAUACUUGGUAAGCUUGUCUUUAGGUGUUUGGGUUGUAUGUUCACUUGUAUUCUUUUGUUGUGGUUCCUGUUGUAUUAUGUAUCCCUUGUUGGCCUCUAAGUACUCGAUCUGUACCACCGGCGAAAGAGAUUGUUGAAACUAAUAUUUCAUUGAUAUGUUUCUCGUAGAUAGCAUUAUAUUUUCUGUUUAAGUUGUUAUGUGUAACAAUGACAUUUAUCUAGCUUUUGUUCUGUGAAGCUUUUUUAUUUUAUUUUGUAUGUUGAUUGUAUAGUUAUGUCCCAUAUUGUCU
RNAcentral lists this long non-coding RNA (1197 nucleotides) under Trifolium pratense (red clover). RNAcentral's name for it is "long non-coding RNA (TPRA_LNC006269)". The record is from RNAcentral. Lineage: Eukaryota; Viridiplantae; Streptophyta; Magnoliopsida; Fabales; Fabaceae.